GACGAACGCUGGCGGCGUGCCUAAUACAUGCAAGUAGAACGCACAGUUUAUACCGUAGCUUGCUACACCAUAGACUGUGAGUUGCGAACGGGUGAGUAACGCGUAGGUAACCUGCCUGGUAGCGGGGGAUAACUAUUGGAAACGAUAGCUAAUACCGCAUAAUAUUGAUUAUUGCAUGAUAAUUAAUUGAAAGGUGCAAUUGCACCACUACCAGAUGGACCUGCGUUGUAUUAGCUAGUAGGUGAGGUAACGGCUCACCUAGGCGACGAUACAUAGCCGACCUGAGAGGGUGAUCGGCCACACUGGGACUGAGACACGGCCCAGACUCCUACGGGAGGCAGCAGUAGGGAAUCUUCGGCAAUGGACGAAAGUCUGACCGAGCAACGCCGCGUGAGUGAAGAAGGUUUUCGGAUCGUAAAGCCCUGUUGUAAGAGAAGAACGGGUGUGAGAGUGGAAAGUUCACACUGUGACGGUAUCUUACCAGAAAGGGACGGCUAACUACGUG
This 505-nucleotide ribosomal RNA is filed under the name uncultured bacterium. Its description in RNAcentral is "partial 16S ribosomal RNA". It matches the Rfam family "Bacterial small subunit ribosomal RNA", at positions 28 to 507 of the family's 1533-position model. The record is from RNAcentral.